Molecule: ribosomal RNA, 446 nt
Filed under: uncultured bacterium
Lineage: Bacteria
Description: SSU rRNA
Rfam family: Bacterial small subunit ribosomal RNA
Source: RNAcentral
AGAGCGAACGCUGGCGGCAGGCCUAACACAUGCAAGUCGAGCGCGUGUAGCAAUACACGAGCGGCAGACGGGAGAGUAACACGUGGGAACGCGCCCUUCGGUUCGGAAUAACUCAGGGAAACUUGAGCUAAUACCGGAUACGCCCUUACGGGGAAAGAUUUAUUGCCGAAGGAACGGCCCGCGUCCGAUUAGCUAGUUGGUGAGGUAACGGCUCACCAGGGCGACGAUCGGUAGCUGGUCUGAGAGGAUGACCAGCCUCACUGGGACUGAGACACGGCCCAGACUCCUACGGGAGGCAGCAGUGGGGAAUAUUGGACAAUGGGCGCAAGCCUGAUCCAGCCAUGCCGCGUGGAUGAUGAAGGCCUUAGGGUUGUAAAGUCCUUUUAACGGGAAGAUAAUGACGGUACCGUAGAAUAAGCCCCGGCUAACUUCGCGCCAGCAGCCGC